AAGUCGUAACAAGGUCUCCGUAGGUGAACCUGCGGAGGGAUCAUUACAGAGUUCAUGCCCUAACGGGUAGACCUCCCACCCUGUGUUAUUGUACCCUUAUUGCUUUGGCAGGCCGUCGUCAAGCCUCCGGCUGGCGCUGGGGUGUGCCUGCCAGAGAACCUAAACUCUGUUUUACUGUCGUCUGAGUACUAUAUAAUAGUUAAAA
Molecule: unclassified non-coding RNA, 205 nt
Filed under: plant metagenome
Description: partial contains small subunit ribosomal RNA and internal transcribed spacer 1
Rfam family: Eukaryotic small subunit ribosomal RNA (bases 1-46)
Source: RNAcentral